AACGAACGCUGGCGGCAUGCCUAACACAUGCAAGUCGAACGAGACCUUCGGGUCUAGUGGCGCACGGGUGCGUAACGCGUGGGAACCUGCCCGUAGGUUCGGAAUAACUCCCCGAAAGGGGUGCUAAUACCGGAUAAUGUCUUCGGACCAAAGAUUUAUCGCCUUUGGAUGGGCCCGCGUUGGAUUAGCUAGUUGGUAGGGUAAAAGCCUACCAAGGCGACGAUCCAUAGCUGGUCUGAGAGGAUGAUCAGCCACACUGGGACUGAGACACGGCCCAGACUCCUACGGGAGGCAGCAGUGGGGAAUAUUGGACACUGGGCGAAAGCCUGAUCCAGCAAUGCCGCGUGAGUGAUGAAGGCCUUAGGGUUGUAAAGCUCUUUUACCCGGGAUGAUAAUGACAGUACCGGGAGAAUAAGCUCCGGCUAACUCCGUG
RNAcentral lists this ribosomal RNA (433 nucleotides) under uncultured bacterium. RNAcentral's name for it is "partial 16S ribosomal RNA". It matches the Rfam family "Bacterial small subunit ribosomal RNA", at positions 29 to 507 of the family's 1533-position model. The record is from RNAcentral.